This 253-nucleotide ribosomal RNA is filed under the name uncultured bacterium. Its description in RNAcentral is "partial 16S ribosomal RNA". It matches the Rfam family "Bacterial small subunit ribosomal RNA", at positions 524 to 776 of the family's 1533-position model. The record is from RNAcentral.
UACGUAGGGGGCAAGCGUUGUCCGGAAUCAUUGGGCGUAAAGAGUGUGUAGGCGGCCCGGUAAGUCCGCUGUGAAAGUCCAGGGCUCAACCCUGGGAUGCCGGUGGAUACUGUCGGGCUCGAGUCCGGAAGAGGCGAGUGGAAUUCCUGGUGUAGCGGUGAAAUGCGCAGAUAUCAGGAGGAGCACCAAUGGCGAAGGCAGCUCGCUGGGACGUGACUGACGCUGAGACGCGAAAGCGUGGGGAGCAAACAGG